Molecule: ribosomal RNA, 860 nt
Filed under: uncultured soil bacterium
Lineage: Bacteria
Description: bacterial SSU rRNA
Rfam family: Bacterial small subunit ribosomal RNA
Source: RNAcentral
AGAGUUUGAUCCUGGCUCAGGAUAAGUCGUAACAAGGUAGCCGUAGAGUUUGAUCCUGGCUCAGAAUGAACGCUGGCGGCGUGCUUAACACAUGCAAGUCGUGCGCGAAGGCGGCUUCGGCUGCCGGAGAGCGGCGAACGGGUGAGUAACACGUGGGUAAUCUGCCUGGGAGUGGGGGAUAACCUGGGGAAACCCGGGCUAACACCGCAUACGAUGCCGGGUCUAAGGAUCUGGUCUGAAAGCUGGCCUCUGCUUGCAAGCUAGCGCUCCCAGAGGAGCCCGCGGCUGAUUAGCUGGUUGGUGGGGUAAUGGCCUACCAAGGCGACGAUCAGUAGCCGGCCUGAGAGGGUGAUCGGCCACACUGGAACUGAGACACGGUCCAGACUCCUACGGGAGGCAGCAGUGGGGAAUAUUGGACAAUGGGCGCAAGCCUGAUCCAGCAACGCCGCGUGGAGGACGAAGGUCUUCGGAUCGUAAACUCCUGUCAGACGGGACGAAGGUCUGGGGGUGAAUAACUCUCAGGCUUGACGGUACUGUCAGAGGAAGCCCCGGCUAACUCCGUGCCAGCAGCCGCGGUAAUACGGAGGGGGCGAGCGUUAUUCGGAAUUAUUGGGCGUAAAGGGCGCGUAGGCGGCUUGAUAAGUCAAAGGUGAAAUCCCUCGGCUCAACUGAGGAACUGCCUUUGAAACUGUCUGGCUUGAGGCCGGGAGGGGGUAGCGGAAUUCCCAGUGUAGCGGUGAAAUGCGUAGAUAUUGGAGGAACACCGGUGGCGAAGCGGCUACCUGGACCGGUUCUGACGCUGAUGCGCGAAAGCGUGGGUAGCAACAGGAUUAGAUACCCUGGUAAUCCACGCUGUAAAC